UGGGGAAUAUUGGGCAAUGGACGCAAGUCUGACCCAGCAACGCCGCGUGAAGGAAGAAGGCUUUCGGGUUGUAAACUUCUUUUAAGGGGGAAGAGCAGAAGACGGUACCCCUUGAAUAAGCCACGGCUAACUACGUGCCAGCAGCCGCGGUAAUACGUAGGUGGCAAGCGUUGUCCGGAUUUACUGGGUGUAAAGGGCGUGCAGCCGGAGAGACAAGUCAGAUGUGAAAUCCACGGGCUCAACCCGUGAACUGCAUUUGAAACUGUUUCCCUUGAGUGUCGGAGAGGUAAUCGGAAUUCCUAGUGUAGCGGUGAAAUGCGUAGAUAUUAGGAAGAACACCAGUGGCGAAGGCGGAUUACUGGACGAUAACUGACGGUGAGGCGCGAAAGCGUGGGGAGCAAACAGG
Molecule: ribosomal RNA, 406 nt
Filed under: uncultured Oscillibacter sp.
Lineage: Bacteria; Bacillati; Bacillota; Clostridia; Eubacteriales; Oscillospiraceae
Description: bacterial SSU rRNA
Rfam family: Bacterial small subunit ribosomal RNA
Source: RNAcentral